GACGAACGCUGGCGGCGUGCUUAACACAUGCAAGUCGAGCGGAAAGGCCUUUCGGGGUACUCGAGCGGCGAACGGGUGAGUAACACGUGAGUAAUCUGCCCUUGGCUUUGGGAUAAGCCCCGGAAACGGGGUCUAAUACCGGAUAUGACCAAUCUCAGCAUGGAGUGUUGGUGGAAAGUUUUUUCGGCCAGGGAUGUGCUGGCGGCCUAUCAGCUUGUCGGUGGGGUAAUGGCCUACCAAGGCUUCGACGGGUAGCCGGCCUGAGAGGGUGGCCGGCCACACUGGGACUGAGACACGGCCCAGACUCCUACGGGAGGCAGCAGUGGGGAAUAUUGGACAAUGGGCGGAAGCCUGAUCCAGCAACGCCGCGUGAGGGAUGACGGCCUUCGGGUUGUAAACCUCUUUCAGUACCGACGAAGCGCCGAUGAUGGUGGUGACGGUAGGUACAGAAGAAGCACCGGCCAACUACGUGCCAGCAGCCGCAGUAA
Molecule: ribosomal RNA, 488 nt
Filed under: uncultured bacterium
Lineage: Bacteria
Description: partial 16S ribosomal RNA
Rfam family: Bacterial small subunit ribosomal RNA
Source: RNAcentral